UGAGGAAUAUUGGUCAAUGGGCGGGAGCCUGAACCAGCCAAAGCCGCGUGAGGGAAGGAAGGCCCCUACGGGUCGUAAAACCUCUUUUGCCGGGGAACAAAAGCGGGUAUGUAUACCCGUAUGAGUGUACCCGGAGAAAAGCAUCGGCUAACUCCGUGCC
RNAcentral lists this ribosomal RNA (160 nucleotides) under uncultured bacterium. RNAcentral's name for it is "partial 16S ribosomal RNA". It matches the Rfam family "Bacterial small subunit ribosomal RNA", at positions 355 to 509 of the family's 1533-position model. The record is from RNAcentral.